GGAAUAACUUCCGGGAAACCGGGGCUUAAAUACCGGGAUGCUUUGAUUGAACCGCCAUGGUUCAAUUAUAAAAAGGUGGCUUUUAGCUACCACUUACAGAUGGACCCGCGGCGCAUUAGCUAGUUGGUGAGGUAACGGCUCACCAAGGCGACGAUGCGUAGCCGACCUGAGAGGGUGAUCGGCCACACUGGGACUGAGACACGGCCCAGACUCCUACGGGAGGCAGCAGUAGGGAAUCUUCCGCAAUGGACGAAAGUCUGACGGAGCAACGCCGCGUGAGUGAUGAAGGUUUUCGGAUCGUAAAACUCUGUUGUUAGGGAAGAACAAGUACCGUUCGAAUAGGGCGGUACCUUGACGGUACCUAACCAGAAAGCCACGGCUAACUACGUGCCAGCAGCCGCGGUAAUACGUAGGUGGCAAGCGUUGUCCGGAAUUAUUGGGCGUAAAGCGCGCGCAGGCGGUUUCUUAAGUCUGAUGUGAAAGCCCCCGGCUCAACCGGGGAGGGUCAUUGGAAACUGGGGAACUUGAGUGCAGAAGAGGAGAGUGGAAUUCCACGUGUAGCGGUGAAAUGCGUAGAGAUGUGGAGGAACACCAGUGGCGAAGGCGACUCUCUGGUCUGUAACUGACGCUGAGGCGCGAAAGCGUGGGGAGCGAACAGGAUUAGAUACCCUGGUAGUCCACGCCGUAAACGAUGAGUGCUAAGUGUUAGAGGGUUUCCGCCCUUUAGUGCUGCAGCAAACGCAUUAAGCACUCCGCCUGGGGGGUACGGUCGCAAGACUGAAACUCAAAGGAAUUGACGGGGGCCCGCACAAGCGGUGGAGCAUGUGGUUUAAUUCGAAGCAACGCGAAGAACCUUACCAGGUCUUGACAUCCUCUGACAACCCUAGAGAUAGGGCUUCCCCUUCGGGGGCAGAGUGACAGGUGGUGCAUGGUUGUCGUCAGCUCGUGUCGUGAGAUGUUGGGUUAAGUCCCGCAACGAGCGCAACCCUUGAUCUUAGUUGCCAGCAUUCAGUUGGGCACUCUAAGGUGACUGCCGGUGACAAACCGGAGGAAGGUGGGGAUGACGUCAAAUCAUCAUGCCCCUUAUGACCUGGGCUACACACGUGCUACAAUGGGCAGAACAAAGGGCAGCGAAGCCGCGAGGCUAAGCCAAUCCCACAAAUCUGUUCUCAGUUCGGAUCGCAGUCUGCAACUCGACUGCGUGAAGCUGGAAUCGCUAGUAAAUCGCGGAUCAACAUGCCCCGGGGGAAAUACCUUUCCCGGGGCCUUUUAAAAAAGGGCGGUACAACCCCAAAAUUUUUGAAACCCCCCAAAGCGGGGGGGGGAAACCUUUUUGGAACCCCCCCCCCCAAAGGGGGGAAAAAAAUUUUGGGGGGAAAAUUCAAAAAAGGGACACACAAAAGG
This 1404-nucleotide ribosomal RNA is filed under the name Rossellomorea aquimaris. RNAcentral's name for it is "Bacillus aquimaris partial 16S ribosomal RNA". It matches the Rfam family "Bacterial small subunit ribosomal RNA". Lineage: Bacteria; Bacillati; Bacillota; Bacilli; Caryophanales; Bacillaceae. RNAcentral also lists the same sequence under 1 other name. The record is from RNAcentral.